Non-coding RNA from Coniochaeta sp. 2T2.1, 83 nucleotides. The record is from the annotation of a GenBank genome assembly. NCBI's taxonomy places the organism in Eukaryota, Fungi, Ascomycota, Sordariomycetes, Coniochaetales, Coniochaetaceae.
GGCCCCGUGGCGUAAUAGUAGCGCAUCUGAUUCCAGAAAUUGGAAUUUCCAGAAGGUUAUCCGUGCAAGUCGGGUCGGGGUCA